This is a non-coding RNA of Clohesyomyces aquaticus, 76 nucleotides long. The record is from the annotation of a GenBank genome assembly. NCBI's taxonomy places the organism in Eukaryota, Fungi, Ascomycota, Dothideomycetes, Pleosporales, Lindgomycetaceae.
GAAUCUAACAUAUAAUAGUGGUUAUCACGUCAGUCUAACACACUGAAGGUCGCCAGUUCGAGUCUGGCGCGAAUCA